GAUAAACGCUGGCGGCGUGCUUAACACAUGCAAGUCGAACGGGGUUAUUUCGAGAAGCUUGCUUCAUGAAAUAACCUAGUGGCGGACGGGUGAGUAACGCGUGGGAAACCUGCCUCGUACUGGGGGAUAACAGUUGGAAACGACUGUUAAUACCGCAUAAGCGCACAAUGUUGCAUGACAUAGUGUGAAAAACUCCGGUGGUACGAGAUGGUCCCGCGUCUGAUUAGCUAGUUGGUGAGGUAACGGCCCACCAAGGCGACGAUCAGUAGCCGGCCUGAGAGGGUGAUCGGCCACAUUGGAACUGAGAUACGGUCCAGACUCC
Molecule: ribosomal RNA, 322 nt
Filed under: uncultured Coprococcus sp.
Lineage: Bacteria; Bacillati; Bacillota; Clostridia; Lachnospirales; Lachnospiraceae
Description: bacterial SSU rRNA
Rfam family: Bacterial small subunit ribosomal RNA
Source: RNAcentral